GAUGAAGAACGCAGCGAAAUGCGAUAAUUAAUGUGAAUUGCAGAAUUUAGUGAAUCAUCGAAUCUUUGAACGCACAUUGCGCCCGCUAGUAUUCUGGCGGGCAUGCCUGUUCGAGCGUCAUUUCAACCAUCAAGCCCUGUUUAGGCUUGUGUUGGGGCCCUGCGGCUGCCGCAGCCCCCUAAAUGCAGUGGCGGGCUCGUUGUCACUCCGAGCGCAGUAGCGUAUCUCGCUCUGGGCGUGGCGGCGGGUGCUAGCCGUGAAACACCCACUAAGGUUGACCUCGGAUCAGGUAGGAAUACCCGCUGAACUUAAGCAUAUCAAUAAGCGGAGGA
This 332-nucleotide unclassified non-coding RNA is filed under the name soil metagenome. RNAcentral describes it as "partial contains 5.8S ribosomal RNA, internal transcribed spacer 2, and large subunit ribosomal RNA". The stretch from base 1 to 120 matches the Rfam family "5.8S ribosomal RNA", at positions 35 to 154 of the family's 154-position model. The record is from RNAcentral.